RNAcentral lists this ribosomal RNA (449 nucleotides) under uncultured bacterium. Its description in RNAcentral is "partial 16S ribosomal RNA". It matches the Rfam family "Bacterial small subunit ribosomal RNA", at positions 29 to 523 of the family's 1533-position model. The record is from RNAcentral.
AACGAACGCUGGCGGCAUGCCUAACACAUGCAAGUCGAACGAGACCUUCGGGUCUAGUGGCGCACGGGUGCGUAACGCGUGGGAAUCUACCCUUGGGUUCGGAAUAACAGUUAGAAAUGACUGCUAAUACCGGAUGAUGACGUAAGUCCAAAGAUUUAUCGCCCAAGGAUGAGCCCGCGUAAGAUUAGCUUGUUGGUGGGGUAAUGGCCUACCAAGGCGACGAUCUUUAGCUGGUCUGAGAGGAUGAUCAGCCACACUGGGACUGAGACACGGCCCAGCCUCCUAAGGGAGGCAGCAGUGGGGAAUAUUGGACAAUGGGCGAAAGUCUGAUCCAGCAAUGCCGCGUGUGUGAUGAAGGCCUUAGGGUUGUAAAGCUCUUUUACCAGGGAUGAUAAUGACAGUACCUGGAGAAUAAGCUCCGGCUAACUCCGUGCCAGCCGCCGCCGUAA